This 72-nucleotide transfer RNA is filed under the name Rhincodon typus (whale shark). RNAcentral describes it as "tRNA-Gln". It matches the Rfam family "tRNA". From Rfam's summary of the family: Transfer RNA (tRNA) molecules are approximately 80 nucleotides in length. Their secondary structure includes four short double-helical elements and three loops (D, anti-codon, and T loops). The record is from RNAcentral. Lineage: Eukaryota; Metazoa; Chordata; Chondrichthyes; Orectolobiformes; Rhincodontidae.
UAGAGAAUAGUGUAAAUGGAAAUGCGAAGGGUUUUGAUCUCUUAGAUAUAGGUUCAAGUCCUAUUUUUCUAA